GAUGAACGCUGGCGGCGUGCCUAAUACAUGCAAGUCGAGCGAACAGAUGAGGAGCUUGCUCCUCUGACGUUAGCGGCGGACGGGUGAGUAACACGUGGAUAACCUACCUAUAAGACUGGGAUAACUUCGGGAAACCGGAGCUAAUACCGGAUAAUAUAUUGAACCGCAUGGUUCAAUAGUGAAAGACGGUUUUGCUGUCACUUAUAGAUGGAUCCGCGCCGCAUUAGCUAGUUGGUAAGGUAACGGCUUACCAAGGCAACGAUGCGUAGCCGACCUGAGAGGGUGAUCGGCCACACUGGAACUGAGACACGAUCCAGACUCCUACGGGAGGCAGCAGUAGGGAAUCUUCCGCAAUGGGCGAAAGCCUGACGGAGCGACGCCGCGUGAGUGAUGAAGGUCUUCGGAUCGUAAAACUCUGUUAUUAGGGAAGAACAAAUGUGUAAGUAACUAUGUACGUCUUGACGGUACCUAAUCAGAAAGCCACGGCUAACUACGUG
RNAcentral lists this ribosomal RNA (497 nucleotides) under uncultured bacterium. Its description in RNAcentral is "partial 16S ribosomal RNA". It matches the Rfam family "Bacterial small subunit ribosomal RNA", at positions 28 to 507 of the family's 1533-position model. The record is from RNAcentral.